This 22-nucleotide small nuclear RNA is filed under the name Arabidopsis thaliana (thale cress). RNAcentral describes it as "snRNA_07912". The record is from RNAcentral. Lineage: Eukaryota; Viridiplantae; Streptophyta; Magnoliopsida; Brassicales; Brassicaceae.
AUGUCGAAUGAAUAGAGCGCCA